RNAcentral lists this ribosomal RNA (253 nucleotides) under uncultured bacterium. Its description in RNAcentral is "partial 16S ribosomal RNA". It matches the Rfam family "Bacterial small subunit ribosomal RNA", at positions 524 to 776 of the family's 1533-position model. The record is from RNAcentral.
UACAGAGGGCUCAAGCGUUGUUCGGAUUUAUUGGGCGUAAAGGGUGCGUAGGCGGCGCUGUAAGUCGGGUGUGAAAUUUCGGAGCUUAACUCCGAAACUGCAUUCGAUACUGCGGUGCUUGAGGACUGGAGAGGAGACUGGAAUUCAUGGUGUAGCAGUGAAAUGCGUAGAGAUCAUGAGGAAGACCAGUGGCGAAGGCGGGUCUCUGGACAGUUCCUGACGCUGAGGCACGAAGGCCAGGGGAGCAAACGGG